UACGGAGGGAGCUAGCGUUGUUCGGAAUUACUGGGCGUAAAGCGCACGUAGGCGGCUUUGUAAGUUAGAGGUGAAAGCCCGGGGCUCAACUCCGGAAUUGCCUUUAAGACUGCAUCGCUUGAAUCCGGGAGAGGUGAGUGGAAUUCCGAGUGUAGAGGUGAAAUUCGUAGAUAUUCGGAAGAACACCAGUGGCGAAGGCGGCUCACUGGACCGGUAUUGACGCUGAGGUGCGAAAGCGUGGGGAGCAAACCGG
Molecule: ribosomal RNA, 253 nt
Filed under: uncultured bacterium
Lineage: Bacteria
Description: partial 16S ribosomal RNA
Rfam family: Bacterial small subunit ribosomal RNA
Source: RNAcentral